UUAUGCUUUUUUAGCUUUUCAUACCUGAAUAAGCACAAAAUUAGUGCUGUGUAAUAUGGUUAACCAGUCUUAGCAUCACUUCAAUAGAAAUCGAAGGCUGCUAAUUUGAAGAAUGACUUUUGGGGAGAGUAUAAUCUACAAACUCAACUCAACUAAACUUUUAUACCAAAAAUUUAUUGAGGUCGGCUAUAUGGAUUCUAUUUCUCCACUCUAAACGAUUUUG
This 223-nucleotide unclassified non-coding RNA is filed under the name Hevea brasiliensis (rubber tree). Lineage: Eukaryota; Viridiplantae; Streptophyta; Magnoliopsida; Malpighiales; Euphorbiaceae. The record is from RNAcentral.